AGAUUGAACGCUGGCGGCAGGCCUAACACAUGCAAGUCGAGCGGCAGCGGGUCCUUCGGGAUGCCGGCGAGCGGCGGACGGGUGAGGAACACGUGGGAAUCUACCUAUUGGUGGGGGAUAACUUGGGGAAACUCAAGGUAAUACCGCAUUAGCCCUACGGGGAAAGCAGGGGACCUUCGGGCCUUGCGCCGAUAGAUGAGCCCGCGUCGGAUUAGCUAGUUGGUAGGGUAAAGGCCUACCAAGGCGACGAUCCGUAGCUGGUCUGAGAGGAUGAUCAGCCACACUGGGACUGAGACACGGCCCAGACUCCUACGGAGGCAGCAGUGGGAAUAUUGGACAAUGGGGAACCUGAUCCAGCAUGCCGCGUGUGUGAAGAAGCUUAGGGUGUAAGCACUUUCGAGUGGGUAGGAAGGCUUCGU
RNAcentral lists this ribosomal RNA (419 nucleotides) under uncultured soil bacterium. RNAcentral describes it as "bacterial SSU rRNA". It matches the Rfam family "Bacterial small subunit ribosomal RNA", at positions 26 to 458 of the family's 1533-position model. The record is from RNAcentral.